RNAcentral lists this ribosomal RNA (253 nucleotides) under uncultured bacterium. RNAcentral describes it as "partial 16S ribosomal RNA". It matches the Rfam family "Bacterial small subunit ribosomal RNA", at positions 524 to 776 of the family's 1533-position model. The record is from RNAcentral.
UACGUAGGGUGCGAGCGUUGUCCGGAAUUAUUGGGCGUAAAGGGCUCGUAGGCGGUCUGUUGCGUCAGGAGUGAAAACUCGGGGCUUAACCCCGAGCCUGCUUCUGAUACGGGCAGACUAGAGGUAUGCAGGGGAGAACGGAAUUCCUGGUGUAGCGGUGAAAUGCGCAGAUAUCAGGAGGAACACCGGUGGCGAAGGCGGUUCUCUGGGCAUUACCUGACGCUGAGACGCGAAAGCGUGGGGAGCGAACAGG